CUGGAGUGUCCUUUCGCGCACGUUCCGCCCAAUAAUGUUCCAUAUAUGCUCGAUAUGGUUCAAAUCCGGGCUACGAUCCGUCCAAGGAAGAUGAAACGAGUUCCAUUGGAACAAUGGAUCUUCCUCCACGAUGCUAAUUUUCAACUUUAGCGAGCUCUGCACUACAUUGGAUACGGAAAACUGUGUGUCUGUUUGUAAGCAAAGGUCUCUGAAAUGGUCUUAUCGCACGAUAACCAGUAGCGAUGAGUCGAUCACGAACAGUUCUUGUUAAAAAGCUCCUGUAUGCCCACCAC
RNAcentral lists this long non-coding RNA (293 nucleotides) under Mytilus galloprovincialis (Mediterranean mussel). Lineage: Eukaryota; Metazoa; Mollusca; Bivalvia; Mytilida; Mytilidae. The record is from RNAcentral.